UCUAGGGCUUCACCCCAGGUGUGGGAGGCAACAGAGUCAUGGUGAUGUUUGAGCAGAUGGAGCAAACGGGGCAAGUUGCUCAAGGGUACUGACAGGUACAGUCCUGAGAAUCUGGCCACCCUGGAGCGCUAUGUGGAGACCCAGGCCAAGGAGAAUGCUUACGAUCUGGAAGCCAACCUGGCUAUCCUAAAGCUGUACCAGUUCAAUCCAGCCUUCUUUCAGACCACGGUCACCACCCAGAUCCUGCUGAAGGCCCUCACCAACCUGCCCCACAUCAACUUCAUGCUGUGCAAGUGUAUGAUGGACCAGGCACACCAUGAAGAACGGCUGAUCUGGCAGAUUUUGUACCUCGGAGACCUGUUGGAGACCUGCCACUUCCAAGCCUUCUGGCAAGCCCUGGAUGAAAAUAUGGACCUCUUGGAAGAUAUAACUGGCUUUGAAGACUUUGUCCAGAAAUUUAUCUGCCACAUGGUGAUCAUCACUUAUCAGCACAUUGAUCGCUGGCUGCUGGCCGAGAUGCCUGGGGAUCUGACACAGCCAGCUGAAGUGUGGAUGAGCAAGUACAGCUGGAGCGCUGACAAGUCGGGCCAGAUCUUCAUCUGUAGCCAGGAAGAGCGCAUUAAGCCCAAGAACAUCAUGGAGAAGAUCGACUUUGACAGUGUGUCUAGCAUCAUGGCCUUAUCCCAGUAACCUUGGAGGCAUUUAAUAAACAUUUGUUGACUUC
Vicugna pacos (alpaca) is the source of this 724-nucleotide RNA transcript. It is a transcript of the gene named eukaryotic translation initiation factor 3 subunit K pseudogene, with no coding region annotated. The record is from RefSeq and is a predicted model, not a curated record. Lineage: Eukaryota; Metazoa; Chordata; Mammalia; Artiodactyla; Camelidae.